RNAcentral lists this ribosomal RNA (516 nucleotides) under Albifimbria verrucaria. Its description in RNAcentral is "eukaryotic LSU rRNA". The stretch from base 140 to 293 matches the Rfam family "5.8S ribosomal RNA". The record is from RNAcentral. Lineage: Eukaryota; Fungi; Ascomycota; Sordariomycetes; Hypocreales; Stachybotryaceae.
UUGUGACCUUACCAUAUUGUUGCUUCGGCGGGACCGCCCCGGCGCCUUCGGGCCCGGAACCAGGCGCCCGCCGGAGGCCCCAAACUCUUAUGUCUUUAGUGGUUUUCUCCUCUGAGUGACACAUAAACAAAUAAAUAAAAACUUUCAACAACGGAUCUCUUGGUUCUGGCAUCGAUGAAGAACGCAGCGAAAUGCGAUAAGUAAUGUGAAUUGCAGAAUUCAGUGAAUCAUCGAAUCUUUGAACGCACAUUGCGCCCGCCAGUAUUCUGGCGGGCAUGCCUGUUCGAGCGUCAUUUCAACCCUCAGGCCCCCAGUGCCUGGUGUUGGGGAUCGGCCCAGCCUUCUCGCAAGGCCGCCGGCCCCGAAAUCUAGUGGCGGUCUCGCUGUAGUCCUCCUCUGCGUAGUAGCACAACCUCGCAGUUGGAACGCGGCGGUGGCCAUGCCGUUAAACACCCCACUUCUGAAAGUUGACCUCGGAUCAGGUAGGAAUACCCGCUGAACUUAAGCAUAUCAUAA